AAAUUUCAUUUCCCACUUCACAAAACAUUUUAUUUUCCCACAAAUAUUUCAUUUCCUACUGCACAAAACUCUCUCAUUUUCUCUCUAUCUCUCACAUUCACUCUCACACACACACAAAUCUUCACAUUCACAUUCACACUCACACACACAGCUUUCGCUGGUGUCGAGGAGGAGAGACCAACCAAGCGCCGCCGAGCCCAGGGCCGACAAGGCCGAACCCAACUCAGCCCUCCUUCGGCCCAAAUCUCCUUUCAAUUGCUCAGUGAAUUCAAAGUUCCUUUCAUUUCAACGAUCUUAGCCAGGAUGUUUCUCUGGUCUAACAAUCUCCAGCUCUCAAAAAUCAUCAACCGCAUCCCAUCAACCAAGCAACUUAUAAGUUUUAUCUUGGUGUUCGAGGACUUUUUUGUAUACAAAGAACUACAGAAGAACAACCACAUUUUUUGCAAGUGUUGAAGGAUAUUUUUAAACACUUUGGAACUUUGAUUAUAGUAUUAUCUUAAUUUGAGUGGUUGUUUUAUUCAAA
Molecule: long non-coding RNA, 523 nt
Organism: Quercus lobata
Lineage: Eukaryota; Viridiplantae; Streptophyta; Magnoliopsida; Fagales; Fagaceae
Exons: 2
Source: RefSeq, a predicted model, not a curated record